AAAGCGUUAACUUAAAUUUAAAGUGUUGAAUUUUUAAUUCGGAAAUGGGAUGGCCACGUUUUA
RNAcentral lists this transfer RNA (63 nucleotides) under Gnathostoma spinigerum. RNAcentral's name for it is "tRNA-Lys". The record is from RNAcentral. Lineage: Eukaryota; Metazoa; Nematoda; Chromadorea; Rhabditida; Gnathostomatidae.